This 484-nucleotide ribosomal RNA is filed under the name Shigella flexneri. RNAcentral's name for it is "bacterial SSU rRNA". It matches the Rfam family "Bacterial small subunit ribosomal RNA", at positions 1 to 474 of the family's 1533-position model. The record is from RNAcentral. Lineage: Bacteria; Pseudomonadati; Pseudomonadota; Gammaproteobacteria; Enterobacterales; Enterobacteriaceae.
AAAUUGAAGAGUUUGAUCAUGGCUCAGAUUGAACGCUGGCGGCAGGCCUAACACAUGCAAGUCGAACGGUAACAGGAAACAGCUUGCUGUUUCGCUGACGAGUGGCGGACGGGUGAGUAAUGUCUGGGAAACUGCCCGAUGGAGGGGGAUAACUACUGGAAACGGUAGCUAAUACCGCAUAACGUCGCAAGACCAAAGAGGGGGACCUUCGGGCCUCUUGCUAUCGGAUGUGCCCAGAUGGGAUUAGCUAGUAGGUGGGGUAACGGCUCACCUAGGCGACGAUCCCUAGCUGGUCUGAGAGGAUGACCAGCCACACUGGAACUGAGACACGGUCCAGACUCCUACGGGAGGCAGCAGUGGGGAAUAUUGCACAAUGGGCGCAAGCCUGAUGCAGCCAUGCCGCGUGUAUGAAGAAGGCCUUCGGGUUGUAAAGUACUUUCAGCGGGGAGGAAGGGAGUAAAGUUAAUACCUUUACUCAUUGACG